RNAcentral lists this long non-coding RNA (1380 nucleotides) under Nicotiana tabacum (common tobacco). Its description in RNAcentral is "long non-coding RNA (NTAB_LNC002423)". The record is from RNAcentral. Lineage: Eukaryota; Viridiplantae; Streptophyta; Magnoliopsida; Solanales; Solanaceae.
GUUCUCUUUAUUCGUUCUAUUUUUGUUGAGGCAAUUUCGGACCCUUGAACAAAUCUUGGAAGAAUGGGAAUCGUUGGAUGAAGAUUUUUGUCCAAAGUUUCUAUUUUUUUUUUUGUUUGUCAAAAGGGAUUUUCGGAUUUUGUUUUGGGGUCCACACAGUUUUGGGCGUUACUUGGAGAAGAGGAGAAGAAGAUUCAAGAGGGGCUAUAUAUUUGGGAUUUUCGGACAUAAAGGGAGAAAAAAAAGGUUCGGAAAGAAGCUAGGGUUGAAAAAAAAUUCUCCUUCUGUCUUCAUUUGGAAUUUUUCAGAUUUUUUGACUUAGUUUAAUUUCAAAAAUAUAAAUACAAACGAAAAAGAAAAAAAAAAUUAUGUUUCUCCUUCUGAUUUAGGAUUUUGGUUAUCACUAUGGAAUUUAGCUGAGUUGAGGUGCCGAUUUGAGUUGUCGUCCGUAGUCCGAGCUCGCAGUUCUCGCCUCACUCUUGCUUCUGUUGUUUGCAACUUUUGGUUCGAGUUCUCGCCGCUCUGUAAUUUUUGAAGAUUUGAAUAUACUGCAAAGCGAUUUCAGGUCCAUUUCCUUUCUCCUUAUCUUGUUGUUUGGUCUGAUUGUUAGUAUGAUAAGAGUUUUUGGUUUGAAAUGGGUUUAAUGGUUUAAAAUUCGAUGAAGUUUUUGCUAAAAAGGGAGAUGGACAUGAAAUGAUUUCAGUUGAGGCUAUUAAUUCUGAAUGAAGUAUAGAGUUCAUUGCUUGGUUUAAUGGUUUGCUUGAUGUUUUCUAUACCAAUAUUUCUUGUCUUUUCCUGUAUGAAUCUUAAUUAAACUAUUAGGUUUGGUUUAGAUUGUUUCACUUUCAUGUUCUGUUAGAAUUCAUGAGUGAUAUUUCUAUGUUAGUCUCAAAUGGCUCUUGCUAUAAAAUCCUCAUGAAGCAGCGCCAUUAGUUUUAAGUUUUAUGUUCUCAGAUUGACAAAAACAGGUUGAUUCAUAUGAUGUUAAUCUUGGGUUUUGAAUGAACUGUGAUUAAACUUGAAAUAUUCUGAUUAUUUAAGUUUAUGCCAAUCAUUUAGAAGACAUUAAGUUUGAAAUUGGAGCUAGUUUGUAUAAAAGGUUAAUCUAUUUUGGAAAAAUAUCAUGUUAAUGGUUAGAAACUGUUUGCUAUGUGAAAGCAGCGUGUUAAUGUCACUGUUGGUUGGAGUGAAUGGAAGUUUCCAAGAAAUGUAUCUCUAUCUUAACUCAAGUAUAAUAAUGUGAUUCAUGAAGGGUUAUUCACUUUUGUUCUUUUAUGAGUCAUUGGAGUGUAUCGUUUGUUCCAAAAAUGGAUAAUGAAUUGUGAAAGACUGUUGUUUCAGUGGCAGUGUACAUUGAUUUGUCUAGGGCUUUUGGAUUAG